AUACGGAGGAUCCGAGCGUUAUCCGGAUUUAUUGGGUUUAAAGGGAGCGUAGGUGGAUUGUUAAGUCGGUUGUGAAAGUUUGCGGCUCAACCGUAAAAUUGCAGUUGAAACUGGCAGUCUUGAGUACAGUAGAGGUGGGCGGAAUUCGUGGUGUAGCGGUGAAAUGCUUAGAUAUCACGAAGAACUCCGAUUGCGAAGGCAGCUCACUAGACUGUUACUGACACUGAUGCUCGAAAGUGUGGGUAUCAAACAGGAUUAGAUACCCUGGUAGUCCACACAGUAAACGAUGAAUACUCGCUGUUUGCGAUAUACAGUAAGCGGCCAAGCGAAAGCAUUAAGUAUUCCACCUGGGGAGUACGCCGGCAACGGUGAAACUCAAAUGAAUUGACGGGG
Molecule: ribosomal RNA, 393 nt
Filed under: uncultured bacterium
Lineage: Bacteria
Description: partial 16S ribosomal RNA
Rfam family: Bacterial small subunit ribosomal RNA
Source: RNAcentral